This 887-nucleotide long non-coding RNA is filed under the name Marmota monax (woodchuck). Lineage: Eukaryota; Metazoa; Chordata; Mammalia; Rodentia; Sciuridae. The record is from RNAcentral.
GUAAAUUCUUAGAAGAGAAUUAACCAAACACUCUUUGUUUCUAAGUUACUAGGAGAAAAAGUCUAAGGGUCUACCUAAUCUACUAAUAAGAUACAUACCUAUUUGAAUAUUUUUUUUCUUAAGUAAGUUUUAAAUGUCAAGGCUUCAGGGUCCACUGUUUUCUAUAGUUUUAGUUUGUUCACUUGUUUAUGGUUAGACUCAUUGUGAGCAAUGACUAUCACCCCCACCCCCCCCUUUUUUUUUCCUACAAAUGUGGCUGCUGUUGGGUGCUGAAAUUGUAGGAAAUAGAAUUCCCUAUAAUAAUUCUAAUUUAACUCUCUGUUACAGUUCCUCCCUUGAUCCCCUUUAUGUUUCUUCCUGCCCCCAGGCUGUUUCUCCAGGGGAAGAUGCUGAGGGAACAAACGGCUUUUACUUAUUUGAGCAUUAGGGUCUUUUCUUGAUGAAUUCACUCAUAACAAAAUUUAAUUCAUUUUAACAGAUUCUUACCAAGCCCCUUAGAAUGAACAAAACAGUGAGUAUGUAUGUAGGCAGAAAGACAUGAAUGUCUUUAGAUCUCAAUGUACUUUUAAUAGAUAAGAAAGCAAAAACGCAGACAAUAUAAGUAUUUGACUUGACUGCCAUCUGCCAAUUUAUUAUUAUUAUUAUUAUUAUUAUUAUUAUUAUUAUUAUUAGAGAAGAGUUUAAUCAUAACUAUAUCACUGGGAGGAAGGACAGUAGGAUAUUGAGGACUGUAGUAGUGGAGGUAGUGGGUUAAGUUUGUUAUCCAGAAAAAAGAUUGGGAGCCAUGAGGGAUCUUCAAAUUUGAAUCCUAGCUUGGACACAGGGCAUUUGUUUUACUCUCUGAAUUAUCUUGGCACUCAGAGCGAAAAAAUGGUUGUGAAAACUGC